UAUCCAAUGUCAUCAUGGAAAAUGCAGUACCAGCAGUCUUGAAGUAUAGCUGAGAACUCUGAAACCCAGGCUGCAUAUCAGGAGCAUUGGUCAGUGAGGAAGAAUAUUGGCUGCCAAGGGGGAGAGAAAUAAGGAAAAGGACAGCAAAACCCAAAGGUAGAAAAAAAGGUGACAUAUAUCUCAGAGAAAAAAAACGGUUGCAAAUCACAGGCUCAGCAAGAUGCAAUUUGGAUUAAUUUUAAAAACGGUUGUGCUGUGCAUAAAACAACAAUAAAUAAAGAUGUAUCUAAGUGAUGGGUUUAUAGGAUAGAAAGGGCUUUGUCUGGAAUUCAUAACGAUGAAGCAAUUAUCUAUAGUUAUAAAAAAAGGAUUUUCUUGACAUUGUAUUUUUAUGUACAAUCACAAAUAAACUGGCAACUGAUAGCACCCUUACUUUUGGAUUAAACCCUGUAUUAAAACAAUAAAAUCCAAAUGAUUUCAGAUUUGUAGAAGUGCUCAUGGAUUAGGUGAUCCUAUUAUUCAUUCUUUCAUUAUGUUUCAUUUUACUUUUAUGGGCAAAAUCCACUGGUUAGGACUUAAUACUUGAAGAGCUGCUGCCACUACCAAGCCUCUGCUAUAAAAUAGUAAAAGUAUAAAGUAAAAAAAUUAUCUCUUGGAAUUUACCCAUACACGAGGGUAUUAGGACUGAUUAGAUCCUCACAUUUUCAUUCAAAUAUAUAUAUAGCUACAAAAUCGAGCAUGUAGAAUACAUUGCCCAAAGGAGAACGUGAAGCCUCGUACACACGAUCGAGGAACUCGACGGGCGAAACAC
This is a long non-coding RNA of Rana temporaria (common frog), 811 nucleotides long. RefSeq lists it as uncharacterized. The record is from RefSeq and is a predicted model, not a curated record. NCBI's taxonomy places the organism in Eukaryota, Metazoa, Chordata, Amphibia, Anura, Ranidae. The transcript has 3 exons.